GGAGCCUUCAGCCGCAGUGCUGCCGUUCAGUGCCUGCUAUCACUCAUACAGAAACAGCGCCUGCAGAGCGCCGUGCGAGGGCCGACCUGGCGCUCACCCCCGAGCAGCCUGGGAAACGCCGACCACAAACGCGCACUGAAUGCAUCCAAAGCCACAAGCUGCUGCUUUUUUUUUUUUUUUUCUCUUUUCUUCUUUUUCUUUUUUAGCUCGUGAGCUGUGACACUUUUUAUGAAGGCCCUUGUAAUGUAACAGGGAAGAAGAACUGAAAAUUCCCGAGGUGCAUUUUAUGCGGUGUGAAAUAUUAUCUCCUCCAGGUUCAUCUCUUGAAAGCUGCCCUUUGCUGCGCUCUGGUUUGAUGGAUAAUGGCAAACAUGAACAAAUCUGCUGUGUGUAAGGAGGAGAGGAGGAUCCUGCCAAGGAGACCUCUCCAGAGACCUUUUAUUUUUACCCAAACCUCUUUCUUUUUAAAGUUUUUAGCACUUCGAACUGAAAUUUCAGUACAGCAGCAGAUGUUACUUAUCAAAUCCCUUCUAAAUAUUCUCUGUUCUACAGCAAACUGUAUUUUGAGAUGACAAAUAUGACCUUACAAGGAGCUGGGCAGCUAACUGAGGACCCACUGCCUUGCUGGGGUGAGCCUGGCCUUUAAAGCCCCAUGGUAAGCAAGGCAGCACCUGCUCCUGUUCCUAGAUGGGUCCUGUUCCUGAUGUCCCCAUCCCCCAGCUGGAAGCAGGGAAACUCAGCCAGGUCCCAAGGCCACAGCUCAGGCUCCAUCCCCCAGUGCAGAGCCCCCCACUGCUCAGCCCGGCAGCAGGACGGUCACUGUGGCUGUUGGCACUGUGAGUGCAUUCCAAAACCAACUUCUAAUACACCAGGUGCUUCCAUGAACGCAAAACUCCUGCUGCAGGGAACGGUUGGACUGGGAUGAGUUAGUCCAGCAUGGGUUGCGUGGAUGAAGCUCUCGCUGAAGGUUCACGCUUGGCACAUUUGGGGGGCUGAAAUCUGGAGCAAUCCAGCAGUCUUCAGUCACCAGCUACCUCCAGGGCCACUGUCCCUGUGGGCCCUUUGGUCACUGUGGAUGUGGAGCUGCCACGGGACCCCAGAAUCAACUGCUGCAUCCCCGUGGUGAGGGGUGUCCUGGUGGGACCUCACCCUGUGCAUCUCCUG
This 1164-nucleotide long non-coding RNA is filed under the name Gallus gallus (chicken). Its description in RNAcentral is "lncRNA (ENSGALG00010017325.1)". Lineage: Eukaryota; Metazoa; Chordata; Aves; Galliformes; Phasianidae. The record is from RNAcentral.